RNA transcript from Mus musculus (house mouse), 4162 nucleotides. It is a transcript of the gene named heat shock protein 70 family, member 13, with no coding region annotated. Lineage: Eukaryota; Metazoa; Chordata; Mammalia; Rodentia; Muridae. The record is from RefSeq and is marked validated. The transcript has 6 exons.
GACUAGGGGGCGGUGCCUCCCAUCGGUACAGUCAUCCUUCUGCCUGUUCGGCGGGACUGAUGGCCGGAGAGAUGACGAUCUUAGGUUCAGCUGUUUUGACUCUCCUCUUGGCGGGCUACUUGGCACAACAGUAUUUACCAUUGCCUACGCCAAAAGUGAUUGGCAUUGACCUGGGUACCACCUACUGUUCGGUUGGUGUAUUUUUUCCCGGGACAGGAAAAGUGAAGGUGAUUCCAGAUGAAAACGGGCAUAUCAGCAUCCCCAGCAUGGUGUCCUUCACGGACGGUGAUGUGUAUGUGGGCUAUGAGAGCCUAGAGCUGGCUGAUUCAAAUCCUCAAAACACAAUCUAUGAUGCCAAACGGUUCAUCGGGAAGAUCUUCACCCCGGAGGAGCUGGAGGCUGAAGUUGGCAGAUACCCAUUUAAGGUUUUACACAGAAAUGGGAUGGCUGAGUUUUCUGUGACAAGUAAUGAAACCAUCAUCGUUUCUCCAGAGUUUGUCGGCUCUCGAUUGCUGCUGAAGCUAAAGGAGAUGGCCGAGGAAUACCUCGGCAUGCCGGUUGCCAAUGCUGUCAUUUCUGUGCCUGCAGAAUUCGACCUACAACAGAGAAAUUCAACAAUCCAAGCUGCCAACCUUGCUGGGCUGAAGAUCUUGAGGGUGAUAAAUGAGCCUACAGCAGCAGCGAUGGCCUAUGGUCUCCACAAGGUUGACGUGUUCUACGUGUUGGUCAUAGACUUGGGUGGAGGAACUCUUGAUGUGUCGUUACUGAAUAAACAAGGAGGGAUGUUCCUAACACGAGCGAUGUCUGGAUUUCUAACCCUGCUAGGCACUGAUUAUCAAUAGUAGAAGAUAGAAAUGGAAAUAACAAUAAUAGCUGAGAUAAAACCGUUUCUAGAAUCUGAAAGAAACAACAAACUUGGAGGACAAGACUUCAAUCAGAGGCUGCUUCAGCAUUUAUAUAAAGAGAUCUAUCAAACGUACGGCUUUCUCCCUUCCAGGAAAGAGGAAAUCCACAGAUUAAGACAGGCGGUGGAGAUGGUCAAGCUAAACUUGACAAUUCAUCAGUCUGCCCAGGUAUCAGUUUUACUCACUGUGGAGGGGAAGGACAGCAAGGAACCUCAGAAUGGUGACUCUGAACUGCCAAAAGACCAGCUCACCCCAGGAGAUGGUCACCAUGUGAAUAGAGUGUUUAGACCUGGCCUUUCUGAAAGCAAGAGUGGAAAAAGUCAGGUUUUGUUUGAGACAGAAGUAUCCCGCAAGCUCUUUGAUGCCCUCAAUGAAGAUCUCUUUCAGAAAAUACUCGUACCCAUUCAGCAAGUAUUAAAAGAAGGCCUCUUAGACAAGACGGAAAUUGACGAGGUGGUUCUAGUUGGGGGUUCUACUCGUAUUCCUCGGAUCCGCCAAGUUAUUCAGGAGUUCUUUGGAAAGGACCCGAAUACAUCUGUAGACCCUGACCUGGCAGUGGUGACAGGAGUGGCCAUCCAAGCUGGGAUUGAUGGAGGCUCCUGGCCUCUCCAAGUUAGUGCUUUGGAAAUUCCCAAUAAGCAUUUACAGAAAACCAACUUCAACUGAACUGAGGGAGUGCUGGUAACUGACCCUGUCUUGGCGUGUUAAGGAUUUCCAUGUGACGCCUCCUCCAGAAAAGGAGUCCAUGAAGUCACUCAAAAAUUCCCAAAAGGACAUUUAUACAGGACAACUUUACAUAGUGUUUUGUUUUAGAAUCGAAUAUGACCAGAUGAGUCUUGUUUGGGUGUGCAAAAAAAAAAAGCUCAGUAUUUCUAAAGUAACAGAGUUGAGUAAAACUCUCCUGGAUUCUGGAAGUAGGUAGCCAUCCGCACUUACUAGUCUGGAAACUUUAAAUAGUGCCAACUAUGAGGCCCAAGUUCUUACUGAAUUUUAUUAGUAGGGGCUGAUAAUUUCUUUAUUUGGUUUUCACAUAUAGCUCUUAAGGACUUGAAGAACUGUUAUGUCAGGUAUUUACACUGGCUGGGAGAUAGCAGUAUUAUUAAACUGCAUAGAUAGUAUUCACCAACUGCCAUGUAAUUUGUACUUUCAAAAAUCCACUAUCUUUUUACAUAUUACAUCCUCCUAAUCUACAGAUUUUAAUAUAUUUGAAAGACCAGUUUUUCUUCCCAAAAUAGCUAAAGAUUUAUUCAGAUCUCUUUCUGCCAGAUAGUAGAACAUGCCCUGUUUAAACUGUAGUCUUUUUAUCUUCAGGGCGUCAUUUUCUGCUUGUAUUUUCACACCUCUGCUUUGUAAGAAUAAAAAAGACAGUAGAAAGUUACCAGUUGCCUUUUCAAAGCGUUGAUGUCACAAUAAAGCUGUAUUACUCUCUCCAUUUGUUUUUGCUAUCCAAGACCAUUGGGUAUUUGUAGCAGCUGUUUGGUUUUGGUUAUGUUGUUUCCCCUUUUCCCAGGAUCAAACCUAGAAAUGCAAGACUAUAGUCAAACUACUUUAGACAUUUAGGCAAGGGGCUCACAAGUUCAAAGCCUGUCUGAGCUACCCAGGAAGUUCUAGACCAAUAUAGGCAACUUAGUGAGAUCCUGUUGCUGUCUCAAAAGCUGAGAGGGAGAUAGGGAGGGGAGAAGAGAAGAAGCAAGCAAGCCAGAUGGCCACAAGGGCCAGUGAAGAAAAUACUCUAUGUUGACUUUGCGAUGCCCAUGUUAUUGGAAGAUAUAUGUCAUUAUAUUUGCUUUAAUGAAAGUAUUCACAUACAAGAAUUAUAUCCUGGCUAUCUUGUUCUUUUAAAGUAUAUCCUGUUUAUCAGUGUUGUAAUAACUAAAGAAGAGAACUAAAAUUUUGAAAAAGAUCAAGCACUUCAGCUUCCCAAAGAGUAAUGCUGGAAGGUGGUAGGAUUUGGUUUUGUUUUUUGUUUGUUUGGUUGGUUGGUUUGGUAUUUUUGCAGCUUUAUAAAAAAUUUUUUUUGCUUAGUAGUGAAGUUGCGAUUAAAUUAACAGUCAUUUCCAUGUACCAAAGCGCAUGCAAUUAGGUAGAUAGAAAAACAUAAAAUGCCGUGCUUUGAUUUUAGAACUAAUGGAGAAAUGCCAAAGAUGAGCCCUUCACAGCAUUGUGAAAAUAUUCAAGACUGUGAAUCUUUGAUUUUCAGAUUGAAAAACAUCUAGGAACAUGUUUGAGGCUACAUGUACUGCAGUCUCCACAUGUACUUGGAAUUCUCACGUUAGCCAUUUAGGAUUAUAAACAGCAAACUUGAAUUUCUCAGAUGUAUGACAACUCAAGACAUGAACAAAAUCAAUUUGCAGAAUGGAGCAGAUAAAUAAUACUAAAAUGGGAAGAUAAAUGUUUUUUUUUGAAAAAACAGGAUGGUGGUGUUGGAGGUGGGGCUAUGUAGUUAGCAUCCUCUUCCUUAGUAGUUACAAUGUUAAAACCAUGAAGGAAAUUGUCUUCAAUCAAUUGUUAGAGUCAUGUGUACCUAAUCCUGACACCAGUGUAGUUUAUUUAAAAGGUACAAAUGAAUCCUGAAAGGGGCCAUUUGUUAAAAUCUGAGAUCAUUUUUCAUAAAAUUUGCUUUUUAGUUGUACAUUUGGCUAAAUUUUUUUUAAGUAUGUAACUUUAAAAAUACUAAGUAAUAUGUAAUUUAUUUUAUAUCAAUGUUUUGGUACUAUGUUUUCACUCAAACCACUUAUCAGAUACCACUGUGUAUAAUAUGAAUUCAAUAUGACAGUUACUGUAUAGAACAGAUUGUGCCUCUUAAAAAUGUGUGUACAGGUAAUUCAUAUUUUGUUGUAAAUCUAUAGCAGUUUUGCUUUUAAAUUGUGUACUUUAUUUUCCACCCAUGACUAGCUUGGAGUAUAUUUUUGAUGUAUAUAAAUACAAAAAGAGAGAGAGCCGAUGUGAUGCUUACAGACAUUCACUAGCAAGUGAUAAAAUUUCAGAAGUGUCACAUCUUACUGCAUUUACUGCAUCCCGUGUCUCCUGGCAUUUCUGCAGUUUUCUGCAUAGUUCUCAUUUAGAAGAGCUAGUUCUUAUGUGAACAGUUUCUUUAGAACUUUGAUUAACAAGCUAUGGCUUGUAACCAGUGGAGUUAAAUGCUGACUUGAUCCACAAAGUUAAUGAGGCUGUGUACCCCCCCUCCAACUGUAAUCUUUUCAGUUGACAGUACUUCAUAAUUUUCUAAUAAAAUCUGUGUUAUUCUUUUGGACAAA